AUUUGUUUUUUGAACUGUCUCAGGACGAACGCUGGCGGCGUGCCUAAUACAUGCAAGUAGAACGCUGAAGGAGGAGCUUGCUUCUCUGGAUGAGUUGCGAACGGGUGAGUAACGCGUAGGUAACCUGCCUGGUAGCGGGGGAUAACUAUUGGAAACGAUAGCUAAUACCGCAUAACAGUAGAUGUUGCAUGACAUUUGCUUAAAAGGUGCAAUUGCAUCACUACCAGAUGGACCUGCGUUGUAUUAGCUAGUUGGUGGGGUAACGGCUCACCAAGGCGACGAUACAUAGCCGACCUGAGAGGGUGAUCGGCCACACUGGGACUGAGACACGGCCCAGACUCCUACGGGAGGCAGCAGUAGGGAAUCUUCGGCAAUGGACGGAAGUCUGACCGAGCAACGCCGCGUGAGUGAAGAAGGUUUUCGGAUCGUAAAGCUCUGUUGUAAGAGAAGAACGAGUGUGAGAGUGGAAAGUUCACACUGUGACGGUAUCUACCAGAAAGGACGGCUAACUACUCAGAC
RNAcentral lists this ribosomal RNA (519 nucleotides) under uncultured Streptococcus sp. Its description in RNAcentral is "bacterial SSU rRNA". It matches the Rfam family "Bacterial small subunit ribosomal RNA", at positions 1 to 516 of the family's 1533-position model. Lineage: Bacteria; Bacillati; Bacillota; Bacilli; Lactobacillales; Streptococcaceae. The record is from RNAcentral.